This is a non-coding RNA of Rattus norvegicus (Norway rat), 58 nucleotides long. Lineage: Eukaryota; Metazoa; Chordata; Mammalia; Rodentia; Muridae. The record is from Rfam.
UGGCUCAGUGGUUAAGAGCACUGGUCACUCUUCCAGAUGACCUGGGUUCAAUUCCCAG